Molecule: ribosomal RNA, 484 nt
Filed under: uncultured bacterium
Lineage: Bacteria
Description: partial 16S ribosomal RNA
Rfam family: Bacterial small subunit ribosomal RNA
Source: RNAcentral
AUUGAACGCUGGCGGCAGGCCUAACACAUGCAAGUCGAGCGGAUGAAGGGAGCUUGCUCCUGGAUUCAGCGGCGGACGGGUGAGUAAUGCCUAGGAAUCUGCCUGGUAGUGGGGGAUAACGUCCGGAAACGGGCGCUAAUACCGCGUACGUCCUGAGGGAGAAAGUGGGGGAUCUUCGGACCUCACGCCAUCAGAUGAGCCUAGGUCGGAUUAGCUAGUUGGUGGGGUAAAGGCCUACCAAGGCGACGAUCCGUAACUGGUCUGAGAGGAUGAUCAGUCACACGGGAACUGAGACACGGUCCAGACUCCGACGGGAGGCAGCAGUGGGGAAUAUUGGACGAUGGGCGAAAGCCUGAUCCAGGCAUGCCGCGUGUGGCAAGAAGGUCUUCGGAUUGUAAAGCACUGUAAGUUGGGAGGAAGGGAAGUAAGUUAAUACCUGGCUGUAUUGACGGUACCAACAGAAUAAGCACCGGCUAACUUCGUG